RNAcentral lists this ribosomal RNA (588 nucleotides) under uncultured bacterium. RNAcentral's name for it is "bacterial SSU rRNA". It matches the Rfam family "Bacterial small subunit ribosomal RNA", at positions 338 to 916 of the family's 1533-position model. The record is from RNAcentral.
CCUACGGGAGGCAGCAGUGGGGAAUAUUGCACAAUGGGCGCAAGCCUGAUGCAGCCAUGCCGCGUGUAUGAAGAAGGCCUUCGGGUUGUAAAGUACUUUCAGCGGGGAGGAAGGCGAUAAGGUUAAUAGCCUUGUCGAUUGACGUUACCCGCAGAAGAAGCACCGGCUAACUCCGUGCCAGCAGCCGCGGUAAUACGGAGGGUGCAAGCGUUAAUCGGAAUUACUGGGCGUAAAGCGCACGCAGGCGGUCUGUCAAGUCGGAUGUGAAAUCCCCGGGCUCAACCUGGGAACUGCAUUCGAAACUGGCAGGCUAGAGUCUUGUAGAGGGGGGUAGAAUUCCAGGUGUAGCGGUGAAAUGCGUAGAGAUCUGGAGGAAUACCGGUGGCGAAGGCGGCCCCUGGACAAAGACUGACGCUCAAGUGCGAAAGCGUGGGGAGCAAACAGGAUUAGAUUCCCUGGUAGUCCACGCCGUAAACGAUGUCGACUUGGAGGUUUGUGCCCUUUAAGCGUGGCUUCCGGAAUUAACGCGUUAAGUCGACCGCCUUGGGGAGUUCCGGCCGCAAGGUUAAAACUCAAAGGAAUUGACGG